UUGAAAUAUCUUCAUUUCUUUGAUAUCAUGUCUCCUUGAUGUGGCAGUGACUUCAAAGAUAUAUUUGAUGUAGAUAAUUUCAUUACCUCCUUGAGAGACGAGAUUCGAAUAAUAAAGAUACUGCCACCUAAGGUCAAGAAAAGAGUUGAACUAGGAUUAUUAUACUCAAUGCCACCCAUUAGAUGGUCUAAUAUCUCAUACUAUGAAAAUCAGGUCCUUCCUCUGUUGCUGAAACACAAGGUCAUACAACUAAAUAGAACAGAUGCUAGACUUGCAAAUAAUGGACUACCUGGUGGGAUUCAGAAGCUACGAUGCCGAGUAAACUUCAAUGCUCUGAGGUUUACUACUCAGAUAGGAGAACUUGGCAGAAGGAUGGUCAAGGUUUUGAGGGAAAAGAGACUUGUCCUUGCACUUCAUCUUAGAUAUGAGAUGGACAUGUUGGCCUUCUCUGGCUGUGCUCAUGAUUGUUACAGCAAAGAGAAGGAGGAACUCACAAGAAUGAGGUGGAUUUGACACAAUGCAUGCUGCGGCAAGGGCUUAUGAUCGAGCUGCGAUCAAGUUCUGUGGCGUUGAUGCGGAUAUCAAAAGGAAACCGACCUUUAUAAAAUGUUAAUGACGAUUCAACAGAUUUUAUGUGCAGAUGAGUAACUUCACGAAGGAGGAGUUUGUGCAUAAUUUGCACUGACAGAGCAAGGGGAAGCUUCAAAUAGAGGGGAUUCAAUAUGGGCUAGUCACAUGUACGUGUAAACAUAUAAAAAGAAUAAAGAGUUAGUCGCCUUUUUCUUUUUCAGUUAUUCAAUAUGACUAGAGUCGAUUAAUGAUUUA
Glycine soja is the source of this 825-nucleotide long non-coding RNA. RefSeq lists it as uncharacterized. Lineage: Eukaryota; Viridiplantae; Streptophyta; Magnoliopsida; Fabales; Fabaceae. The record is from RefSeq and is a predicted model, not a curated record. The transcript is spliced from 5 exons.